CCUACGGGUGGCAGCAGUGAGGAAUAUUGGUCAAUGGGCGCGAGCCUGAACCAGCCAAGUCGCGUGAAGGAUGACUGCCCUAUGGGUUGUAAACUUCUUUUAUAAAGGAAUAAAACGAGGCACGUGUGCCUUUUUGCAUGUACUUUAUGAAUAAGGAUCGGCUAACUCCGUGCCAGCAGCCGCGGUAAUACGGAGGAUCCGAGCGUUAUCCGGAUUUAUUGGGUUUAAAGGGUGCGUAGGUGGGUUGUUAAGUUAGUUGUGAAAGUUUGCGGCUCAACCGGAAAAUUGCAUUUGAUACUGGCAGACUUGAGAACAGUUGAGGUAGGUGGAAUUCGUGGUGUAGCGGUGAAAUGCUUAGAUAUCACGAAGAACCCCGAUUGCGAAGGCAGCUUACUAAACUAUAACUGACAUUGAUGCUCGAAAGUGUGGGUAUCAAACAGGAUUAGAUACCCGAGUAGUC
This 460-nucleotide ribosomal RNA is filed under the name uncultured bacterium. Its description in RNAcentral is "partial 16S ribosomal RNA". It matches the Rfam family "Bacterial small subunit ribosomal RNA", at positions 338 to 795 of the family's 1533-position model. The record is from RNAcentral.